This is a non-coding RNA of Podarcis lilfordi (Lilford's wall lizard), 73 nucleotides long. The record is from the annotation of a GenBank genome assembly. NCBI's taxonomy places the organism in Eukaryota, Metazoa, Chordata, Lepidosauria, Squamata, Lacertidae.
UCUUAUAUAGCUCAACUGGUAGAGCAUGAGAAUCUUGAUCUCAGGGCCGUGGGUUUGAGCCCCGCCUUGGGCA